Long non-coding RNA from Actinia tenebrosa (Australian red waratah sea anemone), 742 nucleotides. RefSeq lists it as uncharacterized. The record is from RefSeq and is a predicted model, not a curated record. NCBI's taxonomy places the organism in Eukaryota, Metazoa, Cnidaria, Anthozoa, Actiniaria, Actiniidae.
UAUAUCACUACACUGCCACGAUAAGCAAGUAGCGAACAAGUGAACAACUACAAUUCCAGUCAAUACUUAAUGUCGAAGAAGAUGAAGGUUAGCUGUAUUGCCGUUAUGCUGCUCUUGACACUCUUCGUGUCACAGUCAUAUUCUACGGCUUCUCCCGAGAAAUGUCCUCCUGGGCUUUGGUGCAAAGAUUCGCGGGAUGCGCGUGAAUUAGUUGAACCUGAUAAAGUCAAAGCUUUCCUAAGGACUAGAAGGUCCAAGAAUUUGCUUUUGGAAGCCGAAGAAGGACCCAACAUGCUUAAAGGAGAGAAAUGAAUAUAUGUUAUCAGAAACUUACAAGGUUGAAAUGGCAAACGAUGUCUAAAUGAUGACAAAUAAAUUAAAGCAUAAGAAGCAUAAAAUACGACAACAAAUAAACAAAAAAUACAAAAGCAAAUGAAAGGUCGAUUAAAGUAUCUAUACAAAUUAAUCGCAUUGUUAAAAACUAAAAGUUUUCAUAAAUAAUGAAGCAACCCAAAAAGUUAUUGUAAAGCAUCAAUGCAAAUUAUUAAAAAAUAUACUAAGGUGGUUUUGAAAAUGGUAAGCAUAAGAUAGAAACAAUACUCAUAAAAGUGUUGUGGUUUAUUGUCUGCACCAAAACGCCAAUGAAAGUUCGAAAACGUUAAUGAACCCACGCAAACAUAUUCAUGAUUGUCAAAUUCAAUGCUAAAUUUCUUAAUGAAAGUUCCAUCGCACUCUUGAGAGU